RNAcentral lists this ribosomal RNA (507 nucleotides) under Olios cf. bibranchiatus SD705. Its description in RNAcentral is "partial 16S ribosomal RNA". It matches the Rfam family "Bacterial large subunit ribosomal RNA", at positions 1797 to 2644 of the family's 2925-position model. The record is from RNAcentral. Lineage: Eukaryota; Metazoa; Arthropoda; Arachnida; Araneae; Sparassidae.
CGACUGUUUAUCAAAAACAUAUUUAAUAGAUAUUAUUAUUAAUAAAACCUGCUCAAUGAAUUUUAAAUAGCCGCAGCUCAUACUGUGCUAAGGUAGCAUAAUCAUUAGUCUCUUAAUUAGAAACUAGAAUGAAAGGUUUAACAUUUAAAUUUCUUUAAUAAAAUUCAAUUUUAAAUUUAUUUUAAAUGUAAAAAAACAUUUAUCUUUUAGAAAGACGAUAAGACCCUAUUGAACUUUACUGAAGUUUAACUGGGGCAGUUAAUUAAUAAUAAUUUUAAUUUACAAUCUUAAAAAAAUGACCCAAUACAAUUGAUUACAUGAUCAAGCUACCAUAGGGAUAACAGAGUAAUAUUUUUCUAUAGCUCUUAUAUAAAAAAAUGAUUACGACCUCGAUGUUGAAUUAAUUUUUCUAAAAAAUGCACCAAUUUUAAAAGAAAGUCUGUUCGACUUUUAAACAAUUACAUGAUUUGAGUUCAGACCGGUGUAAACCAGGUCGGUUUCUAUCUU